Molecule: long non-coding RNA, 661 nt
Filed under: Brassica rapa (field mustard)
Lineage: Eukaryota; Viridiplantae; Streptophyta; Magnoliopsida; Brassicales; Brassicaceae
Description: long non-coding RNA (BRAP_LNC007575)
Source: RNAcentral
GGUUUUUGUGGGUUGGGAAAAGGUAAAGUUGCAUUGGAAGAGUGAAAAUGUGUGUGAGUAGUUGAAAGUGUCUCAGCAUGUAAUAAAAUGUGCAAAAGUGACCUUGAAUGUAAUACUUUCGUAUAGAUGUGUGGAGUUAGUAUGUUGGAGCUUUGGUCUCUUCUAUUCAGAGUUUUGUAGUUCUUUAUUGGCAUGGACGCUUUGUAUGUGGUUGUUUUGUUUUUGAAGUCUUUCUUACCUCUUAGCUGGUGGUUGUGCUUUAGGCAGGUGUUUUCCUGCUUCGUGGUGACUUUGGUCUAUCGUUGAUUAUUCUUCCUCUGAUUUGUUUUUUUUUGGUUUUCUGGAUUGGUGUUUGAUCGCGUUCAUUUGUGUUCCAGACUUUUAUUGAGUUAAUGCUACUAUAAUAUUUUGUUUUUUCUUUGUGAUGCGGAGAUUUAGGUUUAAAUAUGUGUUGUAUUCUAGUUUUUUUGUUUAGUUAUUUUAUAAUUUUUAAUAUUCAAAUAAUUUUAUAAUUUGUAAUAAAAUAAUAGAAAAUAGUAAAAAAUAAUAAAAUAGUAAAAGUUUAUGUUAUUUUUUAGUUCUGAAUAAAUAAAAUAUUUAAAAUAUAUUUAUAUAAUUUAAUUUUUUUCUUUAUUCAUCUUCAAUUUUACUGACCAAUAAA